Molecule: ribosomal RNA, 377 nt
Filed under: uncultured bacterium
Lineage: Bacteria
Description: bacterial SSU rRNA
Rfam family: Bacterial small subunit ribosomal RNA
Source: RNAcentral
UAUUGGACAAUGGGCGAAAGCCUGAUCCAGCAAUGCCGCGUGAGUGAUGAAGGCCUUAGGGUUGUAAAGCUCUUUUACCAGGGAUGAUAAUGACAGUACCUGGAGAAUAAGCUCCGGCUAACUCCGUGCCAGCAGCCGUGGUAAUACGGAGGGAGCUAGCGUUGUUCGGAAUUACUGGGCGUAAAGAGUACGUAGGCGGUGAUUCAAGUCAGAGGUGAAAGCCUGGAGCUCAACUCCAGAACUGCCUUUGAAACUAGAUCGCUAGAAUCAUGGAGAGGUUAGUGGAAUUCCGAGUGUAGAGGUGAAAUUCGUAGAUAUUCGGAAGAACACCAGUGGCGAAGGCGACUAACUGGACAUGUAUGACGCUGAGUACGAAU